AUGCCUUUUGUAUCUUUAUUGACUUUAGUAGAGUAAUUUACCUUUUCUAUAUCAUCAAUAUUAGUUUUCAAAGAUGGCUUAGACUCAGCUUUAUCUUCAAGAUGCUUCAAUCCCUUUAAAUCUUCAAAACUAUUUUUAAGGCUACUCCUUAAAGAUUUUAUAUCCUUUGAAAGUUCAUCAAUGAAAUCUUGACGUGAUUGUCUUUCUAUCUUCUUUAGCUUAGGUU
This 226-nucleotide long non-coding RNA is filed under the name Ricinus communis (castor bean). RNAcentral describes it as "long non-coding RNA (RCOM_LNC002712)". The record is from RNAcentral. Lineage: Eukaryota; Viridiplantae; Streptophyta; Magnoliopsida; Malpighiales; Euphorbiaceae.